AAAAAAAAUAAUUUUGUUAUCUUGUAUCGAUAAUCCUCUAUAAAAGGAUCUCAUCUUUUCUUAUUAGGGGCAGAUUUUUAGAAAUCAUCUCUCUCAAGUACCCCUUUGCUUCCUUUGUAACAUAAUCAUCUAUGAAUAAGGCUUUUGUAAAUUUCAGAAGGCACUGGUAACACCCAUUUGUCUUAAGGAGCCCGCCUGAAGAAUAGGGUGAUAAAAUUGGAAGUCAGGAGCCCGCCUGAAGAACGGGGUGAUGAAAUUAAAAGUCAGGAGCCCGCAAUAAGUGAUGAAAUUUUAAGUCAGGAGCCCGCCUGAAGAACAAGGUGAUGAAAAUUGAAAGUCAGGAGCCCACUUGAAGAACAGGGUGAUAAAAUUACAAGUCAGGAGCCCGCCUGAAGAACAGGGUGAUGAAAUGGCAAGUCAGGAGGUCGCAUGAAGAAUGGGGUGAUGAAAUUGAAAGUCAAGUAACAAGGUUAAGAGAUUGAAAGUCAAGCAACAAGGUCAAGAAGUUGAAAGUCAAACAACAAGGUGAAGAAGUUGAAAGUCAAACAACAAGUUGAAGAAAUUGAAGGCCAAACAACAAGUUGAAGAAAUUGCAAGUCAGGAGCCCGCCUGAAGAAUAGGGUGAUGAAACUCAAGUCAAGAGUCCAAAAGAAGCUGCAUAGGUAGGAUUUUUGUAUUUUCAUUUAUGUUUUGACUUGUAAUUUUUAUUUUUGAUGUAAUGACAGAGCAGCGGAUUGGAACCUCGAUGAACUUCACUCGACUCUCCAACUUGGUAUAGUCCCUCUCUUUCCAACCCUUUGAGAUACCUAUGACUUGAUUGCCUCACAACUUGGGUAAGUAGGAGUGUCUUAAGUCAAGAUGUAGUUGUCUUUCUUCCUUCUGUUUAAUUCUUUUUGAAUGAUAAUUGGGACAAAUUUUUGUCUCGUUGUCUACUUCUUUGUCUGAAAACACUUCAUGUUUACAUUCAAAGGGGGCAUAUUGUAGAUACCUAAUUUUGUCCCUCCUAAGUCCAAUUUUAUUUAUUUUAGCUCACCUUACCACACACCCUCAUCUAUGUGAUUAUAUCCCACAAAAAUACAAAAAAUAACAAUCCUUAACAUAAUCCCUAACAAAUUCUAUCUUGUUUAAUCCUAUCCUAACCAACUUUACACCUCAUCCUAAUAACCCACCCCACCCCCUACUCACCACCACAUACCCUCAAUUCCCCUACCCCUCACGUCUUAUUCAAGAUGGAACCAAUUCAUAAAGACACAAAAUAGAAGAGGGCCCACUUGAAAGAUGUUUUUUGAUCUUUUUCCAUUUUUCAUAAAGGAGAACAAAAAUACACUCAAAAAGACUCCAUUUUCUUUUGGGGCCCACACGAUAUUCCUUUUUCUUAUUUUCUUUCCAAAUUAAUAGAGGGCCCCACAUGGAAUAUAGACUCCUCCAUUUUUUUUCAAUACAAAUACUCACCAUCAUCACACAAUACAGAAAAAAAUAGAGGAGACACCAUCUUCUUCCAUAGAUAAAAUCGUAUACCAUCUUCUCUACGAGAUUCCACAUAGUAACAUUCUCACCAUUUUUUACCACUUUUAGAGAAAACAUGCACUCAUAGUGAGAUCAAAAUAGAGAGAGAGGAGAGAGGGAAUUGAAGAGAGACAUCAAGUGAGAAGAGAAAGAUUGAGAUUGAGAGGGAGAGAUAGAGAUCGACAUCAAGAGGGAGAAAUCGGCUGAGAGAGACGGCGAGAGAGGAAAGAUGAGUAAAAAUCAGUGAUCCAUCACUGAUGUCGUCACUGUUUCGGCAUCGUGACUCUCAUCAGAGCUUCGAAUAGGCCCGUUAGGACCCAACGGACUGCUUUGGUCGAACCAUUACCGGACAACGAAGUCCGGCAAACUGAAAACUAGUUUUGUCUUCUCAAUCCCGAUCAAAAUCGAUCUUUUUGGGUCAGUUCUGGCAAGAUUAUGCCGGAAUAACAUUGAAAUCAGAUCCACCAGUUGUAGAUCGGUGAAACCCGAUCCAAAAUCCAUUAAAAACGCGAUCCUAUUUCAGUUUUUCCAGCGUUUCCAGCAAAGUUUGGUGGAAAUUGUGUUUGGGUUUCUCGGUUUCAUAAGUUCCAUCUUGGUUUUUUUGAUUCCAUCAUCGUCAAAUCUGUUCGAGUCGUAGUUUUUAAUAUCGAGUCUGAGUUUAGUCGUAUUGAGGCUGAGUAGAGGUUCAUGGAUGUGGAUUCUGUCUCUCUACCCGAGUAAUACUAAAUAUCAAAAACUUCUUUCGAGGUCCAA
This is a long non-coding RNA of Capsicum annuum, 2259 nucleotides long. RefSeq lists it as uncharacterized. The record is from RefSeq and is a predicted model, not a curated record. NCBI's taxonomy places the organism in Eukaryota, Viridiplantae, Streptophyta, Magnoliopsida, Solanales, Solanaceae. The transcript has 2 exons.